GUGCGUAACGUCCUUUGCUCUGUAUCCCCUUAGAAGAAGUCCAGCUGUGUCACACUUAACAAAUAGUUCUUCAUAUAUUACGAUAUGGAAGCAGAAACUAAAGGUCGAAACUCAUCGGCUUUCCGUCGCCAAGUGUUAUCAAGACACCUCAUCGGCCACGAGUGGAACAAAGGCUGAUUGUGAUGGUGGCUGCUGUUUAUCAGACUGAAGACUGUUGAAUAAAGUCUUGGGACGAUGUGGUGAUCUUGAUCUUGUCCAUGGAGACUUUGGAUCAGCUGGAAUAAGAGCCUGAAAAGCUUGGAGCUCGUUGGAUGAAGAUCUGCAGGCUGAAAUGAUCCUGUGGUGGAACGUGACCAGCUGAGCAGUGUCACAGGGUGGGAGCUGCUGGUCACGAGCUGACGCAGUAAAACAUGAGGCCACUUGACAGGACCACUGGCAGUCUGGUUAAUGGACAAUGUGUUGAAUUUGCUGAAUAAAUUGUGCUUUAUAAAUGGUU
Mugil cephalus (flathead mullet) is the source of this 496-nucleotide long non-coding RNA. RefSeq lists it as uncharacterized. NCBI's taxonomy places the organism in Eukaryota, Metazoa, Chordata, Actinopteri, Mugiliformes, Mugilidae. The record is from RefSeq and is a predicted model, not a curated record. The transcript is spliced from 4 exons.